UAGAAGCACUAAAUGGGCUAGGGGGAAGAAGAUUCUUACCAAACCUAAUAAAACUCCGAAUGCUAAACAUUGUUCCUCAGCAGACAGACUGUGGGUGCUAAGGUCCAUGGUCGAGAGGGAAAGAGCCCAGACCACCAGAUAAGGUCCCAAAAUAAUGAUUAAGUGUGAAAGGAUGUGGAAAUUCCUUAACAGCCGGGAGGUUGGCUUAGAAGCAGCCAUCCUUUAAAGAUAGCGUAACAGCUCACCGGUCUAAUAGAGUUUCUGCGCCGAAGAUGUAACGGGGCUAAAAUCAUUUACCGAAUCUGUGGAUUUAUAAUUUUUUUAAAAUUAUAACUGGUAGCGGAACGUUCUGUAAGCCUGUGAAGGGAUACCUGUGAAGGAUCCUGGAGGUAUCAGAAGUGCGAAUGCUGACAUAAGUAACGAUAAAAGAAGUGAAAAACUUCUUCGCCGAAAAUCCAAGGGUUUCUGCGCAAGGUUAAUCCGCGCAGAGUUAGUCGGCACCUAAGGCGAGGGCGAAAGCCGUAGUCGAUGGAAAUAAGGUUAAUAUUCCUUAACCAGAUGGUAGUGACGAAUCUUGUAAGUUGUGAGUUCUUAAUGGAUUGAGCUUGCCGCGAAAAGGUUCCAAGAAAUAGCUCCAUCAUAAGACCGUACCCUAAACCGACACAGGUGGAUUAAUAGAGUAUAUUUAGGCGCUUGAGAGAAUGAUGUUGAAGGAACUCGGCAAAAUGCUUCCGUAACUUCGGAAUAAGGAAGACCUUUUUGUAGGCAACUAUAGAAAGGUGGCACAAGCCAGGGAGAAGCGACUGUUUAUCAAAAACACAGGGCUCUGCUAACACGUAAGUGGAUGUAUAGGGUCUGACGCCUGCCCGGUGCUGGAAGGUUAAUGCGAUGGGUGCAAGCUCAUUUCUGAAGCCCCAGUAAACGGCGGCCGUAACUAUAACGGUCCUAAGGUAGCGAAAUUCCUUGUCGGGUAAGUUCCGACCUGCAUGAAUGGCGUAACGAUUUCUCCGCUGUCUCCAACAUCAACUCAGUGAAAUUGAAUUCUCCGUGAAGAUGCGGAGUUCGCGUAGUUAGACGGAAAGACCCCGUGCACCUUUACUGCAACUUUACAUUGGUGUUAGGAAAAACAUAUUUAGUAUAGGAGGGAGACAUUGAAGCAGAGGCGUCAGCUUUUGUGGAGUCACCAGUGAAAUACCUCUUUUGUUUUUCUUGAUAUCUAACUGAUAGCCGUUAUCCGGCAUCAAGACAUUGUAUGGUGGGUAGUUUGACUGGGGCGGUCGCCUCCCAAAUAGUAACGGAGGCGUGCGAAGGUAGGCUCAGAACGGUCAGAAAUCGUUCGUAGAGUGCAAUGGCAUAAGCCUGCCUGACUGUGAGACUGACAAGUCGAGCAGAGACGAAAGUCGGUCAUAGUGAUCCGGUGGUUCUGAGUGGAAGGGCCAUCGCUCAACGGAUAAAAGGUACGCCGGGGAUAACAGGCUGAUACUGCCCAAGAGCUCAUAUCGACGGCAGUGUUUGGCACCUCGAUGU
Molecule: ribosomal RNA, 1527 nt
Filed under: marine metagenome
Description: bacterial LSU rRNA
Rfam family: Bacterial large subunit ribosomal RNA
Source: RNAcentral